RNA transcript from Equus quagga, 2337 nucleotides. RefSeq lists it as uncharacterized. Lineage: Eukaryota; Metazoa; Chordata; Mammalia; Perissodactyla; Equidae. The transcript is spliced from 2 exons. The record is from RefSeq and is a predicted model, not a curated record.
AGCACCAGCAGACAUUUUUGAAUCAGCUGAGAGAAAUUACUGGGAUCAACGAUGCCCAGAUACUACAGCAAGCUUGGAAGAUAGCAAUGGAAACUUGGAGUUGGCAGUGGCUUUCCUCACUGCGAAGAAUGCCAGGACCCCUCAGCAGGAGGAGACAACUUACUACCAAACCGUGCUUCCUGGCAGUGAUAGAUACAUCAGUGUGGGAAGCCAAGCAGAUGCGAGUAAGUUUACUUCUUUCUUAAUAUUUUGACAGGAAUGUAAUGAAAAAUUUUCCUUGGGGAUAUAUUAAUUUUGUUGAAGCAGAGGUAAAGGACAAAAGAAAAGACUACUUUAACCUUGGUUCUUCUUAGUGUAUUUGAAAGGAGCAUGUUUUAAUUAGCUGCAUUAUAUUUUUUUCCAGAUUGUAUUUCAUUGGUAUAUCCUUUCAUAGAGCACCUCAUGGAGUAUUCAUUGUUUUGAAAUAUGGAACAGCUACAGUGUUACUCAUUAAAGAAACAAAAAUUUCUAGAAUUUUAAAUGGGCAAAAUCAUUUGUUUUAUGGAUUUUAAGUGUUGGUAGAGGCUUAGUAUUAUUUUUGAAGAUAAAGUAGUAGUUUUAAUUACUGAUAGCUUUACCAUUUAGUAGAAUUUCCCUUCUUUCAAUCCCUGCCCCUCCCCAAAAUAAAGAUUUUGGAGAAAGGUUUAUUACCAUGUAACAAAAUAAGCACACAUACAUGCGCACACACAGGUCCAUAUGGAAAAUUUUAUGGACUAAUUUUUAUUCAUAACAUGAAUACUUUGUGCUUAUAUAGCACUGAGUUUUUCAAAAUACAUUCAGUUACCUCCAUAUCUCAUUGUGGUGUAACUGUAUUAUAUAAAAUGUAGGUAUUUAUUUUUAUGCAUUCUCAAUUAGAGAAGUUUGAUUACUAACUUGUAUUGGAAGAGAAUUUCUGAUUUUGUUUAUAGACUUUCUCAAAGUUAGGAAAUAACCAGGAAGAACCCAUUCACAUAGAUGUUUAUAGCUAUUAAUUGGCAUUAAAUACUGUUUAAUGUUGGUUGAUUUCAAGUUUUCAGGAUAAUCUUAGUAUUUUUGCUCUACAAAUGAUCUUAUGUCGGCUAAGCCUGGAAUACUCCUACUUCACACAGAUAAUAGGUGAUAAUCAGGAGAAGUUUUAUGUGUGUAAGACAGACCCAGUUGCUGUGUCCAAGUUGAAGACACACUGUGGCUUGACUCCUGUCUGCAUCUCUGACUUCGUUUUCUACUGUUUUGUUCUUUUCUCUUUACACUGUGAUGACGCAGAAUGGCUUGAAGUUCUCAUCCACCCAGUGCUAUUUAAUUUCUUUUGUCUUUAUGCUUGCUUUUCCUUCGAAGGAAUCCCUUCUAGCCUUUAUCCCCAGCCUAAUUUCUUCUGGCGUUGUAGGAUUUAGCUCAGGAGCUAAUGGCUCUAGAAUGUUUCCCCUGGCCUCUAGUAUGGACCAAGUGCUUUUCCAGCACCCAGAGCAUACCUGUGUCUUAAUGAGUACUGUGUUAUUUUAAAAUUGUUUGCUUGUGCCUUUCUUGCUUACCAAACAUGAAGCCUAACAGGGCAAGAGACUACUGAUGUUCCCAUCAUCAUAUUAGAAUGUCAGAGUUUCUCAAAAAGUGUUUGUUGAGUUAUUUUUGAUAAUAUGUGUAAAAACGCCAUCCCCAGAGGCCCACCUCUGAAGACAAUUUGGUGGACUGGACCCUCCUCAGGGCCACCUUGGGAAGCUUAUACUGAAGAUGGCAGGGCCACAUGAGGAAAGGAGCCCUGGUCACUGUGUCACCCCAGGAGAGUCACUUCCACCCAGGAACACUUGGAUUGAAUGAGGACAUAUUGUCUCAACCAAAAUCCAUAAAAUGUUAAGAUUGCCAGUUCAUAUUGAUGACUCUUGAGUUGUUUGGAUUGGAAUCCUGGUCUCUUAGUUCAUACCUUUAGGGACACCCUUCAGUCUUUGCCCUUGCUUGUCCCCAGUGACCAACCAGAAGGACAGAGGGAGCCUCAGACUAGGAAGAUUGGGGAGCUGUGUGGGCAGUCCCAGGCGUCCCUGCACAGAAGGAAACUUGAAAACAGGAGGAGAGUGGGCCUCACCCAGGGAUGGCCCCCAUCACUUGCUCUUGUGCACAGAAAGGGACGUGGCCUGGCCCUGCUUUGUACCCUAGGUGUGCUGUAGGGCCAGGUGGGCCUAGACUGGCAGAGCCAGGCUGCCAUCAGCCCUGUCCACCUCCCCCAGUGCCUGGAGAAGUGAGACCCCCUUCUACUUUCAGAGCUCACUUAGGGGUCUGUUUCCUAGACCCUAGCUGGCCUCCCCUCCCCCAACCAACUGACACACCCUG